GGUGAGUAAUGCAUCGGAACGUGCCCAGUCGUGGGGGAUAACGCAGCGAAAGCUGUGCUAAUACCGCAUACGAUCUACGGAUGAAAGCGGGGGACCGAAAGGCCUCGCGUGAUUGGAGCGGCCGAUGUCAGAUUAGCUAGUUGGUGGGGUAAAGGCCCACCAAGGCGACGAUCUGUAGCUGGUCUGAGAGGACGACCAGCCACACUGGGACUGAGACACGGCCCAGACUCCUACGGGAGGCAGCAGUGGGGAAUUUUGGACAAUGGGCGCAAGCCUGAUCCAGCAAUGCCGCGUGCAGGAAGAAGGCCUUCGGGUUGUAAACUGCUUUUGUACGGAACGAAACGGUCCGGGUUAAUACCCUGGGCUAAUGACGGUACCGUAAGAAUAAGCACCGGCUAACUACGUGCCAGCAGCCGCGGUAAUACGUAGGGUGCAAGCGUUAAUCGGAAUUACUGGGCGUAAAGCGUGCGCAGGCGGUUUUGUAAGACAGGCGUGAAAUCCCCGGGCUCAACCUGGGAAUGGCGCUUGUGACUGUGAAACUGGAGUGCGGCAGAGGGGGAUGGAAUUCCGCGUGUAGCAGUGAAAUGCGUAGAUAUGCGGAGGAACACCGAUGGCGAAGGCAAUCCCCUGGGCCUGCACUGACGCUCAUGCACGAAAGCGUGGGGAGCAAACAGGAUUAGAUACCCU
RNAcentral lists this ribosomal RNA (687 nucleotides) under uncultured bacterium. Its description in RNAcentral is "bacterial SSU rRNA". It matches the Rfam family "Bacterial small subunit ribosomal RNA", at positions 105 to 788 of the family's 1533-position model. The record is from RNAcentral.